GGCAGCACCAGCGCCUUGGAGAGCUGUGUGGUGGCUGAGCUCCAUAGGCGGGGCAUGCUGGUACCCAGGCGCUCUGUGGGAGUCUGCUCUGAACUCCAGCCACACUGCCUUCUACUUGGUGGUCAGACACUCAAAAGCAGAAGCCUGGAGGAGAUGAUUGAGUGCCCCAGGGUCGGACAGGGGUAAGUGACGGUAACCCUCACCUUCUGACUCCAGGGCCCACCCAUGAUCUCCUACACCUCCAUAAGCCGCCCGUGGUCCUACAGACGGGAAAAGGUAAUAGAGGUGGUGUUUGGAAAUGCUGGCCAGCACCCCGGGUCUCACUGUCCUUCUCGUGGUCAGCCUGCUCACUGAACUUCCCAUCAUCGGAGGCAGGGUUCACUCGCUGGUCUGAGCCCACUGUAGGAGUAAAGAAAAUAAAAAGCA
This is a long non-coding RNA of Suricata suricatta (meerkat), 426 nucleotides long. RefSeq lists it as uncharacterized. The record is from RefSeq and is a predicted model, not a curated record. The transcript has 3 exons. NCBI's taxonomy places the organism in Eukaryota, Metazoa, Chordata, Mammalia, Carnivora, Herpestidae.